Molecule: transfer RNA, 76 nt
Filed under: Syntrophomonadaceae bacterium
Lineage: Bacteria; Bacillati; Bacillota; Clostridia; Eubacteriales; Syntrophomonadaceae
Description: tRNA-Val
Rfam family: tRNA
About the family: Transfer RNA (tRNA) molecules are approximately 80 nucleotides in length. Their secondary structure includes four short double-helical elements and three loops (D, anti-codon, and T loops).
Source: RNAcentral
GGGCGAUUAGCUCAGUUGGGAGAGCACCUGCCUUACAAGCAGGGGGUCGUAGGUUCAAGUCCUGCAUCGCCCACCA